RNAcentral lists this ribosomal RNA (595 nucleotides) under uncultured Bacteroidota bacterium. Its description in RNAcentral is "bacterial SSU rRNA". It matches the Rfam family "Bacterial small subunit ribosomal RNA", at positions 122 to 715 of the family's 1533-position model. The record is from RNAcentral. Lineage: Bacteria; Pseudomonadati; Bacteroidota.
CAACCUGCCCAUCACUUGGGGAUAACCUUGCGAAAGUAAGACUAAUACCCAAUGACGUCUCUAGAAGACAUCUGAAAGAGAUUAAAGAUUUAUCGGUGAUGGAUGGGGAUGCGUCUGAUUAGCUUGUUGGCGGGGUAACGGCCCACCAAGGCGACGAUCAGUAGGGGUUCUGAGAGGAAGGUCCCCCACAUUGGAACUGAGACACGGUCCAAACUCCUACGGGAGGCAGCAGUGAGGAAUAUUGGUCAAUGGGCGAGAGCCUGAACCAGCCAAGUAGCGUGCAGGAUGACGGCCCUAUGGGUUGUAAACUGCUUUUAUAAGGGAAUAAAGUGAGUCUCGUGAGACUUUUUGCAUGUACCUUAUGAAUAAGGACCGGCUAAUUCCGUGCCAGCAGCCGCGGUAAUACGGAAGGUCCGGGCGUUAUCCGGAUUUAUUGGGUUUAAAGGGAGCGUAGGCCGGAGAUUAAGCGUGUUGUGAAAUGUAGACGCUCAACGUCUGCACUGCAGCGCGAACUGGUUUCCUUGAGUACGCACAAAGUGGGCGGAAUUCGUGGUGUAGCGGUGAAAUGCUUAGAUAUCACGAAGAACUCCGAUUG